RNAcentral lists this ribosomal RNA (332 nucleotides) under uncultured Janthinobacterium sp. Its description in RNAcentral is "bacterial SSU rRNA". It matches the Rfam family "Bacterial small subunit ribosomal RNA", at positions 209 to 525 of the family's 1533-position model. The record is from RNAcentral. Lineage: Bacteria; Pseudomonadati; Pseudomonadota; Betaproteobacteria; Burkholderiales; Oxalobacteraceae.
GACCUCAUGCUCGUGGGAGCGGCCGAUAUCUGAUUAGCUAGUUGGUAGGGGUAAAAAGCCUACCAAGGCAUCGAUCAGUAGCUGGUCUGAGAGGACGACCAGCCACACUGGAACUGAGACACGGUCCAGACUCCUACGGGAGGCAGCAGUGGGGAAUUUUGGGACAAUGGGCGAAAGCCUGAUCCAGCAAUGCCGCGUGAGUGAAGAAGGCCUUCGGGUUGUAAAGCUCUUUUGUCAGGGAAGAAACGGUGAGAGCUAAUAUCUCUUGCUAAUGACGGUACCUGAAGAAUAAGCACCGGGCUAACUACGUGCCCAGCAGCCGCGGGUAAAUA